RNAcentral lists this non-coding RNA (30 nucleotides) under Mus musculus (house mouse). The record is from RNAcentral. Lineage: Eukaryota; Metazoa; Chordata; Mammalia; Rodentia; Muridae.
UUCGAGGGACGUGUCAAUAAACCAAGGUGU